RNAcentral lists this ribosomal RNA (433 nucleotides) under uncultured bacterium. RNAcentral describes it as "partial 16S ribosomal RNA". It matches the Rfam family "Bacterial small subunit ribosomal RNA", at positions 29 to 507 of the family's 1533-position model. The record is from RNAcentral.
AACGAACGCUGGCGGCAUGCCUAACACAUGCAAGUCGAACGAGACCUUCGGGUCUAGUGGCGCACGGGUGCGUAACGCGUGGGAACCUGCCCUCAGGUUUGGAAUAACUCCCCGAAAGGGGUGCUAAUACCGGAUAAUGUCUUCGGACCAAAGAUUUAUCGCCAUUGGAUGGGCCCGCGUUGGAUUAGUUAGUUGGUAAGGUAAAAGCCUACCAAGGCGACGAUCCAUAGCUGGGCUGAGAGGAUGAUCAGCCACACUGGGACGGAGACACGGCCCAGACUCCUGCGGGAGGCAACAGAGGGGAAUAUUGGACAAUAGGCGUAAGACUGAUGCAGCAAGGCAGCGUAAGUGAUGAAGGCGUUAGGGUUGUAAAGCUCUUUUACCCGGGAUGAUAAUGACAGUACCGAGAGAAUAAGCUCCGGCUAACUCCGUG